GCUUAUGGCCACACCGCCUUGUUCACGCCUGAUCUCGGAAGCUAAGAUAGGUUGGGCCUGGUUAGUACUUGGAUGGGAGACAGCCUGGGAAUACCAGGUGCUGUAAGCU
Ribosomal RNA from Scophthalmus maximus (turbot), 109 nucleotides. The record is from Ensembl. NCBI's taxonomy places the organism in Eukaryota, Metazoa, Chordata, Actinopteri, Pleuronectiformes, Scophthalmidae.